GUCGGCAAAAUGGAUCCGU
RNAcentral lists this small nuclear RNA (19 nucleotides) under Arabidopsis thaliana (thale cress). RNAcentral describes it as "snRNA_05096". The record is from RNAcentral. Lineage: Eukaryota; Viridiplantae; Streptophyta; Magnoliopsida; Brassicales; Brassicaceae.